RNAcentral lists this ribosomal RNA (553 nucleotides) under uncultured bacterium. RNAcentral's name for it is "partial 16S ribosomal RNA". It matches the Rfam family "Bacterial small subunit ribosomal RNA", at positions 355 to 898 of the family's 1533-position model. The record is from RNAcentral.
UAGGGAAUCUUCGGCAAUGGGGGCAACCCUGACCGAGCAACGCCGCGUGAGUGAAGAAGGUUUUCGGAUCGUAAAGCUCUGUUGUAAGUCAAGAACGGGUGUGAGAGUGGAAAGUUCACACUGUGACGGUAGCUUACCAGAAAGGGACGGCUAACUACGUGCCAGCAGCCGCGGUAAUACGUAGGUCCCGAGCGUUGUCCGGAUUUAUUGGGCGUAAAGCGAGCGCAGGCGGUUUGAUAAGUCUGAAGUUAAAGGCUGUGGCUCAACCAUAGUUCGCUUUGGAAACUGUCAAACUUGAGUGCAGAAGGGGAGAGUGGAAUUCCAUGUGUAGCGGUGAAAUGCGUAGAUAUAUGGAGGAACACCGGUGGCGAAAGCGGCUCUCUGGUCUGUAACUGACGCUGAGGCUCGAAAGCGUGGGAGGCGAACAGGAUUAGAUACCCUGGUAGUCCACGCCGUAAACGAUGAGUGCUAGGUGUUGGAUCCUUUCCGGGAUUCAGUGCCGCAGCUAACGCAUUAAGCACUCCGCCUGGGGGAGUACGACCGCAAGGUUGAA